UCCUAAAAUCUUUCUUAGCCAUCUUCGUUGAGCCACAUUUAGUGUUUUUCAAUUUCGGCAGAUGACUAUUCACAGCAGUUUAUUAAUGGAGCCCUUCCACUGCAGCAUUCUGGAGGCAAUCCAGUAUUUUAUAGAAGUAGCCUUAGAAAUGACUAGUCAGCAGAACAGAGUUGAUAAAAGGAUAACUCUAAUGUCACCUGCUGGAAUGUCUACAGACUCUCAUCUCAGUUCUUUGACAUAAUGUAUAUUUUUUAUUUCAGAAUAGUUUUAGAAGUAAUGAAGUAUUCAUUUAUGGACAUCAAUAAAUACAUGCUCUUUAAA
This is a long non-coding RNA of Biomphalaria glabrata, 321 nucleotides long. RefSeq lists it as uncharacterized. The record is from RefSeq and is a predicted model, not a curated record. Lineage: Eukaryota; Metazoa; Mollusca; Gastropoda; Planorbidae. The transcript has 2 exons.